UGGGGAAUAUUGCACAAUGGGCGCAAGCCUGAUGCAGCCAUGCCGCGUGUAUGAAGAAGGCCUUCGGGUUGUAAAGUACUUUCAGCGGGGAGGAAGGGAGUAAGUUAAUACCUUUGCUCAUUGACGUUACCCGCAGAAGAAGCACCGGCUAACUCCGUGCCAGCAGCCGCGGUAAUACGGAGGGUGCAAGCGUUAAUCGGAAUUACUGGGCGUAAAGCGCACGCAGGCGGUUUGUUAAGUCAGAUGUGAAAUCCCCGGGCUCAACCUGGGAACUGCAUCUGAUACUGGCAAGCUUGAGUCUCGUAGAGGGGGGUAGAAUUCCAGGUGUAGCGGUGAAAUGCGUAGAGAUCUGGAGGAAUACCGGUGGCGAAGGCGGCCCCCUGGACGAAGACUGACGCUCAGGUGCGAAAGCGUGGGGAGCAAACAGG
RNAcentral lists this ribosomal RNA (428 nucleotides) under Chloroflexota bacterium. Its description in RNAcentral is "Chloroflexi bacterium partial 16S ribosomal RNA". It matches the Rfam family "Bacterial small subunit ribosomal RNA", at positions 355 to 776 of the family's 1533-position model. Lineage: Bacteria; Bacillati; Chloroflexota. RNAcentral also lists the same sequence under 1 other name. The record is from RNAcentral.